Molecule: ribosomal RNA, 450 nt
Filed under: uncultured bacterium
Lineage: Bacteria
Description: partial 16S ribosomal RNA
Rfam family: Bacterial small subunit ribosomal RNA
Source: RNAcentral
GUGGGGAAUCUUCCACAAUGGACGAAAGUCUGAUGGAGCAACGCCGCGUGAGUGAAGAAGGGUUUCGGCUCGUAAAGCUCUGUUGUCGGGGACGAAUGUGCAGUAUUUGAAUAAAGUAUUGCAAUGACGGUACCUGACGAGGAAGCCACGGCUAACUACGUGCCAGCAGCCGCGGUAAUACGUAGGUGGCAAGCGUUGUCCGGAAUUAUUGGGCGUAAAGGGAGCGCAGGCGGGAAGGUAAGUCGGUCUUAAAAGUGCGGGGCUCAACCCCGUGAUGGGAUCGAAACUAUCUUUCUUGAGUGCAGGAGAGGAAAGUGGAAUUCCUAGUCUAGCGGUGAAAUGCGUAGAUAUUAGGAGGAACACCAGUGGCGAAGGCGACUUUCUGGACGAUAACUGACGCUGAGGCGCGAAAGCGUGGGGAGCAAACAGGAUUAGAUACCCGUGUAGUCC